GAUGAAGAACGCAGCGAAAUGCGAUACGUAAUGUGAAUUGCAGAAUUCAGUGAAUCAUCGAAUCUUUGAACGCAUAUUGCGCUCUUUGGUAUUCCGAAGAGCAUGCUUGUUUGAGUAUCAGUAAACACCUCAAAGCUUUUGGAUUUUUUAAUCGAAAAGCUUUGGACUUGAGCAAUCCCAACACCAAUCUUUUUGAGAUCGGUGGCGGGUUGCUUGAAAUGCAGGUGCAGCUGGACAUUCUCCUGAGCUAAAAGCAUAUUCAUUUAGUCCCGUCAAACGGAUUAUUACUUUUGCUGCAGCUAACAUAAAGGGAGUUUGACCGUAUUGGCUGACUGAUGCAGGAUUUCACAAGGGUCGGCAACGAUUCUUGUUAAACUCGAUCUCCAAUCAAGUAAGACUACCCGCUGCACUUAAGCAUAUCAAUAAGCGGAGGA
This 434-nucleotide unclassified non-coding RNA is filed under the name soil metagenome. RNAcentral's name for it is "partial contains 5.8S ribosomal RNA, internal transcribed spacer 2, and large subunit ribosomal RNA". The stretch from base 1 to 120 matches the Rfam family "5.8S ribosomal RNA", at positions 35 to 154 of the family's 154-position model. The record is from RNAcentral.